GUGUCAUGGUUUGUUGGUGGGGGCGCAACGCAAAAAGCAUUUCUCUCUCUGUUAGUUUUCUUUCAUACGCUACAAAAUAAUACUCCACAGUUCAGUUGUCUUUUUCCUCUAAUCAAAUUUCUCAGCCGAUCCAUCGUCGACUCCAAGAAACCGAUCGCUGAUUCUAAAUGAAAAUUAAUUUCUCAAAUCGUUCUCAAUCAAUGUGUGCGGAUGUUCUCUCUUCUUCUUCGGCGUUGAUUGAUAUGCUAAUUACGGCUUACGGUACUGUUCUUCUUCGUGUACAUUGCUGGAAAUCGAUCGAGGAGAUCUGAUGCUCUCUCUUCUUUUCCGGCGUUGAUCGAUAUGCUUACGGCUUACGGUACUGUUCUUCUUCGUCUACAUUGCUGGAAAUCCAUGGAGGAGUUCUGUUUUGCUCUCUCUUCUUCUUCUCCGGCGUUGAUCAAUAUGCUUACGGCUUACGGUACUCUUCUUCGUGUACAUUGCCGGAAAAUGCUCGAGGAGCUCUGUUUUGCUUCACUUCUUCUGUGGAAUGAUGCUGUCGACUUUUCAAGUGAUGGAUUAUGACUGGCAUUGUUGUCUCUAGAUCAGUACAGUUGUGAUGGCUCCUCUACGAGUCUCCAGCGGCGAAAACAGUACUCCGUUAGCGGAUGACACAUCCAUCACCAUUCUAAUGUUCAAUGCACGGUUCAAUCUUCCAUCCCUGCAUUUUGGUAGCUGUGCAGCUGCAGCAUAUAACCUCAGCAGCUGCAGGAACUUACAAAUUACUUGGAUGUGAAUAAUACAUAUGCAACUUUUGAGCAAUAGAAUACUUGUUCAUAGAAGCAGCCCUAAGAAGGUAUAUUUCUUGCGUGAAUAUUUCAUUAUUAUCUUUUCACGAUAAAUAAAGGUUUUGCCAAACGUCCCUAAUCCAAUUUUUAAAAAAUACAAUGUAUUUUAAAACUGAGAAAAUUGAGAUUUUAAACAUCCAAUUAAACAUACAAUGGAAUGUCUAAAAGAUAAAAAGAUAUUGUUACGUAUAAAGCUAUUAGCAACUGUUUCACUAAACUUUUAUUAGAUAUUUAAGUGGCGUAAAAGAUAAUUUGAAUUUGUAAUGUAAAUUUACGCCCGAUCCAUUUUUAUGAAAUUUGCUCUUGAUAUCUACAAUAUGCUUAAAUAGUAAAUUCAUUUGUUCAUUUCUUUA
This is a long non-coding RNA of Cucumis sativus (cucumber), 1180 nucleotides long. RefSeq lists it as uncharacterized. NCBI's taxonomy places the organism in Eukaryota, Viridiplantae, Streptophyta, Magnoliopsida, Cucurbitales, Cucurbitaceae. The transcript has 6 exons. The record is from RefSeq and is a predicted model, not a curated record.